UCUUUUUGUUAAGUUGGACACAGAAUCUAUGAUACUGGUCAUAUCGAAUCAUGUUCAUAGAACAAAGGUCUUCGCCUGAGUCAGGUAGUAGAUAAUAUAAUGAAAAUACAAAAAUUCAAGUCCUGUAAAUACAUCGGGUGCAUGGCAUGUUCAGUAGAACUGUGUAUUCAAAUUAGCUAGGAAUGUGCAUGAUGUCAUUGUAAGGAUUUCAGCAGUAACUCCUUUAAGUUGUCCCCAGGAUUUUCUAAUUAUGGUUAAAAUGCUGUAUCUUAGAGAAAACAAAUCAUGCAGAACAAAUUCUUGGCAAAACAAAGGGUCCAGAUAGAGUCAAAAUUACAAUUGCAAUGAACAAAAGAUCAUUCUUUCUCAACGGACCCGACGAGCUUUCUCUUCCUGCCCUAACCCAAGUGAUUUCUGUGCAUUUGCAAUACCUUCAGGAUCAAAGAACUGAGUAAAGAUGCGGGUGAAGAAGCUCAAGUUGCGAGAAACAUUAUAUGCCAUAGCAGGUGGAAGAGGCUUCACAAUGGUGUCAAUGCUAAAUACUCUCUGAAGAAACUGAAAAUUGCGCUGGAAGCUGUACCGGAGCUCGGGGUCGAGCUCAAGGGGAUCGUCUUCGUCAGAGUCAUCUUCAUUGGAGCGGCGCUUGUUGUUCUUUUUGCGAGGGACGUGCAUAGUAGGGGUGGAGCCGGGCUGAUUGGUGACCUUGAGCUUGGCGUCUUUGAAUUUUUCGGCCUCGUCGUCAUCGUCACCUCUCCAUGGCGCUUUUGAUAGCAAUUCCCUCUUUCCCUUCGCCAUUUCGCAGAUGAUUAUAGGUUUCUGUGGCAGCUCCGUCGGUUUCCGUCCCGCUAUGCGAAUAGUGGUGUGUAGACUACCGUCAGCCGAGAGUGUGAAAGAUAAGGAUUACCGCGGAAAUGCUAGCGG
This 921-nucleotide unclassified non-coding RNA is filed under the name Hevea brasiliensis (rubber tree). Lineage: Eukaryota; Viridiplantae; Streptophyta; Magnoliopsida; Malpighiales; Euphorbiaceae. The record is from RNAcentral.